RNAcentral lists this ribosomal RNA (301 nucleotides) under uncultured bacterium. RNAcentral's name for it is "partial 16S ribosomal RNA". It matches the Rfam family "Bacterial small subunit ribosomal RNA", at positions 509 to 809 of the family's 1533-position model. The record is from RNAcentral.
CAGCGCGCGGGAAUACGUAGGGUGCAAGCGUUAAUCGGAAUUACUGGGCGUAAAGCGCACGUAGGCGGAUCAGAAAGUCAGAGGUGAAAUCCCAGGGCUCAACCUUGGAACUGCCUUUGAAACUCCUGGUCUUGAGGUCGAGAGAGGUGAGUGGAAUUCCAAGUGUAGAGGUGAAAUUCGUAGAUAUUCGGAGGAACACCAGUGGCGAAGGCGGCUCACUGGCUCGAUACUGAUGCUGAGGUGCGAAAGCGUGGGGAGCAAACAGGAUUAGAUACCCGCGUAGUCCCUGUCUCUUAUACAC